GAAACUUAAAGGAAUUGGCGGGGGAGCACUACAACGGGUGGAGCCUGCGGUUUAAUUGGACUCAACGCCGGAAAACUCACCUGGGGCGACAGCAAUAUGUAGGUCAGGCUGAAGGUCUUACCUGAAUCGCUGAGAGGAGGUGCAUGGCCGUCGUCAGUUCGUACUGUGAAGCAUCCUGUUAAGUCAGGCAACGAGCGAGACCCGUGCCCACUGUUGCCAGCAUAUCCUUCGGGAUGAUGGGUACUCUGUGGGGACCGCUGGUGCUAAACCAGAGGAAGGUGCGGGCUACGGUAGGUCAGUAUGCCCCGAAUCUCCAGGGCUACACGCGGGCAACAAUGACCGGGACAAUGGGCUCCUACCCCGAAAGGGGUUGGUAAUCUCAUAAACCCGGCCUUAGUUCGAAUUGAGGGCUGCAACCUCGCCCUCAUGAAGCUGGAAUCCGUAGAAAUCGCGUUUCAAUAUAGCGCGGGGGAAUACGUCCCUGCUCCUUGCAAACACCGCCCGUCAAAACCACCCCGAGUGAGGUAUGGGUGGAGGGCACGGACCUAGUGCCGUGUUCGAACCUAAAUUUCGCAAGGGGGGGUUAAGUCGUAACAA
Molecule: ribosomal RNA, 597 nt
Filed under: uncultured Methanosarcinales archaeon
Lineage: Archaea; Methanobacteriati; Methanobacteriota; Methanomicrobia; Methanosarcinales
Description: bacterial SSU rRNA
Rfam family: Archaeal small subunit ribosomal RNA
Source: RNAcentral